Molecule: ribosomal RNA, 229 nt
Filed under: uncultured Lactobacillus sp.
Lineage: Bacteria; Bacillati; Bacillota; Bacilli; Lactobacillales; Lactobacillaceae
Description: partial 16S ribosomal RNA
Rfam family: Bacterial small subunit ribosomal RNA
Source: RNAcentral
GAGAUCGGGAUAACACCUGGAAACAAGAUGCUAAUACCGGAUAACAACAGAUGAUGCCUAUCAACUGUUUAAAAGAUGGUUCUGCUAUCACUCUUGGAUGGACCUGCGGUGCAUUAGCUAGUUGGUAGGGUAACGGCCUACCAAGGCGAUGAUGCAUAGCCGAGUUGAGAGACUGAUCGGCCACAUUGGGACUGAGACACGGCCCAAACUCCUACGGGAGGCAGCAGUA